This 930-nucleotide ribosomal RNA is filed under the name human gut metagenome. RNAcentral describes it as "bacterial LSU rRNA". It matches the Rfam family "Bacterial large subunit ribosomal RNA", at positions 2001 to 2925 of the family's 2925-position model. The record is from RNAcentral.
GUAAUGAUGGCCAGGCUGUCUCCACCCGAGACUCAGUGAAAUUGAACUCGCUGUGAAGAUGCAGUGUACCCGCGGCAAGACGGAAAGACCCCGUGAACCUUUACUAUAGCUUGACACUGAACAUUGAGCCUUGAUGUGUAGGAUAGGUGGGAGGCUUUGAAGUGUGGACGCCAGUCUGCAUGGAGCCGACCUUGAAAUACCACCCUUUAAUGUUUGAUGUUCUAACGUUGGCCCGUAAUCCGGGUUGCGGACAGUGUCUGGUGGGUAGUUUGACUGGGGCGGUCUCCUCCUAAAGAGUAACGGAGGAGCACGAAGGUUGGCUAAUCCUGGUCGGACAUCAGGAGGUUAGUGCAAUGGCAUAAGCCAGCUUGACUGCGAGCGUGACGGCGCGAGCAGGUGCGAAAGCAGGUCAUAGUGAUCCGGUGGUUCUGAAUGGAAGGGCCAUCGCUCAACGGAUAAAAGGUACUCCGGGGAUAACAGGCUGAUACCGCCCAAGAGUUCAUAUCGACGGCGGUGUUUGGCACCUCGAUGUCGGCUCAUCACAUCCUGGGGCUGAAGUAGGUCCCAAGGGUAUGGCUGUUCGCCAUUUAAAGUGGUACGCGAGCUGGGUUUAGAACGUCGUGAGACAGUUCGGUCCCUAUCUGCCGUGGGCGCUGGAGAACUGAGGGGGGCUGCUCCUAGUACGAGAGGACCGGAGUGGACGCAUCACUGGUGUUCGGGUUGUCAUGCCAAUGGCACUGCCCGGUAGCUAAAUGCGGAAGAGAUAAGUGCUGAAAGCAUCUAAGCACGAAACUUGCCCCGAGAUGAGUUCUCCCUGACUCCUUGAGAGUCCUGAAGGAACGUUGAAGACGACGACGUUGAUAGGCCGGGUGUGUAAGCGCAGCGAUGCGUUGAGCUAACCGGUACUAAUGAACCGUGAGGCUUAACCUU